AUCCUGGCUCAGGAUGAACGCUAGCGGCGCGCUUAACGCAUGCAAGUCGAGCGAUGAGGCUCCCUUCGGGGAGUAAUCAGCGGCAGACGGGUGAGUAACACGUAGAUAGCCUGCCCUCAAGACGGGGACAACCGGUGGAAACAGCGGCUAAUACCCGAUAUGCUCACAGGAUCGGGAGGUCGAGUGAGGAAAGCGCCCCUUCGGGGGAGAGUGUUUGAGGAGGGAUCUGCGGCCCAUCAGCUAGUUGGUGAGGUAACGGCUCACCAAGGCGAAGACGGGUAGGGGGUGUGAGAGCAUGGCCCCCCACAAUGGGACUGAGACACGGCCCAUACUCCUACGGGAGGCAGCAGCGGGGAAUAUUGCGCAAUGGACGGAAGUCAGACGCAGCGACGCCGCGUGGGUGAGGAAGGCCUUCGGGUUGUAAAGCCCUUUUCAGGGGAGCGAGAAAGGACGGUACCCUUGGAAUAAGCGUCGGCUAACUACGUGCCAGCAGCCGCGGUAAGACGUAGGACGCAAGCGUUAUCCGGAUUUACUGGGCGUAAAGCGCCUGUAGGCGGUCAAGUAAGUCGGAUGUGAAAGCCCCGUGCUCAACGCGGGGAAGCCAUUCGAUACUGCGUGACUAGAGAACGGCAGAGGGAAACGGAAUUUCUGGUGUAGCGGUAAAAUGCGCAGAGAUCAGAAAGAACACCGAUGGCGAAGGCAGUUUCCUAGGCCGCAUCUGACGCUGAGAGGCGAAAGCUAGGGGAGCAAACAGGAUUAGAGACCCUGGUAGUCCUAGCUGUAAACGAUGGAUGCUAGGUGUGGGCCGGAAAGGUCCGUGCCGUAGUUAACGCGAUAAGCAUCCCGCCUGGGGAGUACGGCCGCAAGGCUAAAACUCAAACGAAUUGACGGGGACCCGCACAAGCAGCGGAGCGUGUGGUUUAAUUCGAUGCUACACGCAGAACCUUACCUGGGCUUGACAUGUAGGUGGUAGUGAAGUGAAAGCGGAGCGACCCUUCGGGGAGCCUACACAGGUGCUGCAUGGCUGUCGUCAGCUCGUGCCGUGAGGUGUCGGGUUAAGUCCCGUAACGAGCGCAACCCUUGUCCUUAGUUACAAGUGUCUAAGGAGACUGCCGGUGACAAACCGGAGGAAGGUGGGGAUGACGUCAAGUCAGCAUGGCCCUUAUGUCCAGGGCGACACACACGCUACAAUGGUCGGUACAAUGGGCAGCGCAGCCGCGAGGUGAAGCGAAUCCCAACAAAGCCGAUCCCAGUUCGGAUUGCAGGCUGCAACCCGCCUGCAUGAAGCCGGAGUUGCUAGUAACCGCGCGUCAGCCAUAGUGCGGUGAAUACGUUCCCGGGUCUUGUACACACCGCCCGUCACGUCAUGGGAGUUGGUAACGCCUGAAGCCGGUAGUCUGACCUAACGGAGGACGCCGUCGAAGGCGGGACUGGCGACUGGGACGAAGUCGUAACAAG
This 1458-nucleotide ribosomal RNA is filed under the name uncultured organism. RNAcentral describes it as "bacterial SSU rRNA". It matches the Rfam family "Bacterial small subunit ribosomal RNA". The record is from RNAcentral.